This 326-nucleotide unclassified non-coding RNA is filed under the name soil metagenome. RNAcentral describes it as "partial contains 5.8S ribosomal RNA, internal transcribed spacer 2, and large subunit ribosomal RNA". The stretch from base 1 to 120 matches the Rfam family "5.8S ribosomal RNA", at positions 35 to 154 of the family's 154-position model. The record is from RNAcentral.
GAUGAAGAACGCAGUGAAAUGCGAUAAGUAAUGUGAAUUGCAGAAUUCAGUGAAUCAUCGAAUCUUUGAACGCACAUUGCGCCCCUUGGUAUUCCGAGGGGCAUGCCUGUUCGAGCGUCAUAUUAACCACUCCCGCUUGCGGGGUCUUGGGCUUCGCCUCCGGGCGGGCCUUAAAAUCAGUGGCGGUGCCGUCGGGCUCUACGCGUAGUAAAUUUUCUCGCGAUAGGGUCCCGGUGGAUGCUUGCCAACAACCCCCAACUUCUUAAGGUUGACCUCGGAUCAGGUAGGGAUACCCGCUGAACUUAAGCAUAUCAAUAAGCGGAGGA